GAAAUUGAUCCUCCAGUACAAAAGCUGGAAUAAACUCAUAAGACGAGAAGACCCUGUGGAGCUUUAAAACCAAGAUCAUUAAACUAUGCUCCUUGGAUUUUUAGUUGGGGCGACUUUGGAGCAAAAAAAACCCUCCAAAACAUAAAUUUAAUUAUUUAGACCAACACACCAAGAAAAUUAUAUUAGACCCAGCAGUAUUUUUUUACUGUCUGACCAAUGAACCAAGUUACCCCAGGGAUAACAGCGCUAUCCUCUUCUAGAGUCCCUAUCGACAAGAGGGUUUACGACCUCGAUGUUGGAUCAGGACACCCCUAUAGUGCAGCCGCUAUAAAAGGUUCGUUUGUUCAACGAUUAAAGUCCUACGUGAUCUGAGUUCAGACCGGA
This 384-nucleotide ribosomal RNA is filed under the name Podarcis tauricus tauricus. RNAcentral's name for it is "partial 16S ribosomal RNA". It matches the Rfam family "Bacterial large subunit ribosomal RNA", at positions 2038 to 2620 of the family's 2925-position model. The record is from RNAcentral. Lineage: Eukaryota; Metazoa; Chordata; Lepidosauria; Squamata; Lacertidae.